UGGGGAAUAUUGGACAAUGGGCGCAAGCCUGAUCCAGCCAUGCCGCGUGAGUGAUGAAGGCCCUAGGGUUGUAAAGCUCUUUCACCGGUGAAGAUAAUGACGGUAACCGGAGAAGAAGCCCCGGCUAACUUCGUGCCAGCAGCCGCGGUAAUACGAAGGGGGCUAGCGUUGUUCGGAUUUACUGGGUGUAAAGCGCACGUAGGCGGACUAUUAAGUCAGGGGUGAAAUCCCGGGGCUCAACCCCGGAACUGCCUUUGAUACUGGUAGUCUUGAGUUCGAGAGAGGUGGGUGGAAUUCCGGGUGUAGGGGUGAAAUUCGUAGAUAUUCGGAGGAACACCAGUGGCGAAGGCGGCUCACUGGCUCGAUACUGACGCUGGGGUGCGAAAGCGUGGGGAGCAAACAGG
RNAcentral lists this ribosomal RNA (404 nucleotides) under Actinomycetes bacterium. RNAcentral's name for it is "Actinobacteria bacterium partial 16S ribosomal RNA". It matches the Rfam family "Bacterial small subunit ribosomal RNA", at positions 355 to 776 of the family's 1533-position model. Lineage: Bacteria; Bacillati; Actinomycetota; Actinomycetes. The record is from RNAcentral.